Molecule: ribosomal RNA, 627 nt
Filed under: uncultured bacterium
Lineage: Bacteria
Description: bacterial SSU rRNA
Rfam family: Bacterial small subunit ribosomal RNA (bases 1-535)
Source: RNAcentral
CCUACGGGAGGCAGCAGUAAGGAAUAUUGGUCAAUGGGCGAAAGUCUGAACCAGCCAUGCCGCGUGAAGGAUUAAGGCCCUCUGGGUUGUAAACUUCUUUUAUCUGGGACGAAAAAAGGGUAUUCUUACUCACUUGACGGUACCAGAGGAAUAAGCACCGGCUAACUCCGUGCCAGCAGCCGCGGUAAUACGGAGGGUGCAAGCGUUAUCCGGAUUUACUGGGUUUAAAGGGUGCGUAGGUGGGCUUGUAAGUCAGUGGUGAAAUCUCCGGGCUUAACCCGGAAACUGCCAUUGAUACUAUAGGUCUUGAAUUAUCUGGAGGUAAGCGGAAUAUGUCAUGUAGCGGUGAAAUGCUUAGAUAUGACAUAGAACACCAAUUGCGAAGGCAGCUUACUACGGAUAUAUUGACACUGAGGCACGAAAGCGUGGGGAUCAAACAGGAUUAGAUACCCUGGUAGUCCACGCCCUAAACGAUGGAUACUCGACAUACAGCGAUACACUGUUGGUUGUNUGAGCGAAGACAUAAGUAUCCACCGUACGGAAGUACGAGCGCGAAGUAGUAGUUAACGUUACGUAAAGUUAAGUUAGUAGGCGNGNGAGAGCGACGACGACGACGAGGAGGAGGNG